Molecule: long non-coding RNA, 667 nt
Organism: Archocentrus centrarchus (flier cichlid)
Lineage: Eukaryota; Metazoa; Chordata; Actinopteri; Cichliformes; Cichlidae
Exons: 4
Source: RefSeq, a predicted model, not a curated record
AUUGCUAACAGCUGCUAACAGCAGAAUCGCUGUCACCGGACAGAACUGAGCUGCUCUGACUCAUCGACAGGUUUCGGACUCUUCGCAGAGUUUUCCGGCCUCCUCCAGAGGAAACAGCCUUGGACGCUUCAUGAGAAGUGCGACUCCCGAUGAAGUGGUCACUAAAGUGGGAGGGAGGAGGCGCAGGGAAUCCAGGUGGCCCGUGACGUCCGCCGGCAGCCUCGGCUCUUUUGUCUCUGCUGCUGCCGCUGAUGGAAGGGAUUUUAUCAAUAUGACAGGCGUGACGAUGGCAGAGCAGAGGUCUUCCACCUGAGCAGAUUUUGUCCAGAGUCGCUCCAUUACCUGAGUGAGCCUCCUUUGUCUUACAGCUCCAAGUGGAAAAUGAAAAUGAAAGCUGAAAUGGUCCAGGUCACCCAGGCAUCACAAACAUUGUUUUUAUGUGUGCAUCUGAGAGGCUGAGAAUGCUUUUAAUUUGAGCUUUUUAAAUCCAGCAAACAUCUGCUCUGUGGUUUCUUGAAUCUGAUCAGAUCAUAGAUAUGUUUCAUGAAGGUACAACCUUCAAAUCAUCAACCCACCAAACAUAUAUAUAUAUAUAUCUAUAUACACACACAGAGUUAGAGCCAGCCCACUUAGUGAACGGCGUGUUGGGAUGUAGUCAUGAACCAUA